Long non-coding RNA from Nannospalax galili (Upper Galilee mountains blind mole rat), 1319 nucleotides. RefSeq lists it as uncharacterized. Lineage: Eukaryota; Metazoa; Chordata; Mammalia; Rodentia; Spalacidae. The record is from RefSeq and is a predicted model, not a curated record. The transcript is spliced from 4 exons.
UUCUUCAGACCCGGAACAUUUCUUUUCUGGUCCUCUGUGUUUGAUGUUCUGUUGGCUUCACGUACUUGUUGGAUAACUUUCUCUGUAGAUUUGGGAGACAUUCUAGUGUGAUUGAAUUUAAAAUGUUAUUCAUUCCUUUGUCCUGGAGUUCUUCCCUUUCUUCUCUGUCCAUAAUUUGCAGGCUUUUCCUUUUAAUGCUCUCCUAAAAUUCCUGCAUAUUCCUUUCUAUGAGUUUUUAAAUAGGAAUUCUCUGUGCUUUACCUAAAAGCACUUCUGUGAUUUCUGCCAGGCAAAUUAGGAAAAUGGCAAGACAGCCCUCUAGUGGUGACUGACGGACGCUGCAGGAAGAAUUCAGGCCCUGGUUAGUCAACAAUGGGGCUUCCUGUGACACUUCCUGAGACAUCCAUUUCCUGGUAAAACCUGGGCCGGAGUGGGCGGGGCCAGAGCAGAGACAGAGACACGCCAUCUUCUAGCCCGACUAUCGGAACACCAGGGUCAUGAAAACUCUGCACGGACCUAGGGAGCACUCCACUUGGGUGCAGCGUGGUGCUGAACAGGCAGAGGGUGAGCCCUGACCGGUUUCAGUUGGAUCGAACGUUCACCCCAGCCACUGGAACCACCCGGAGCGGGUGUGUUGACAUUCAGUGAUGUGACUGUGGACUUCUCACAGGAGGAGAGGGAGUGCCUAGAUCCUGCUCAGAGGGCUUUGUAAAGAGAGACCUGAAGGUGGUGGAGAAUUACAGCUCUCUCAUUUCUGUUGUGCACAACCUAUAUGUACCUCAGAAUAUGAAUUGAGCAUGUAAAUUUGGUACAUUUACACAUGGAGUUCUACGCAGUGGUAAAGGACAAGGAAAUAAGGAAUUUUCAGAAUGUAGGAGGAAUUCUUAAUCUUGUUGGCAGAGUGGGCCACUGGAAGGCAGGAAAGCAGAAACUUCUCUCACGGUCUCCAUGUUGAGCUUUUUCUUCCUGUGCAUCUACUGUAACUGCAGACAGUGAGAACGGCCUGUUUUGUUUUCUGAGAUGCUUCUUCCUCUUGCUAUGUUGGCAAGUGAAGUGGAUUUUCAGUGAACUGAAAGGAAGUUUCUCGAAACAAAGGGAAGACAGUUUAUGUAAGAUUGCCUGGAAAGGAAACUCACAGAAGAAGGAGAGAGAUGGCUUCUUUUCAGGUGAGUUAAUCCAAGGUCAUGGACCAUGUAUACUUUCCUUCUCUAAAUGUUUGUUCUUUUGAACUUGUAAGCUUUUCUGAUCCAGAAACUAGCUAUGAAGACCAUGCUAGCCUGGAUCUCCCAGAGAUCCUCAUGCCUCUUCCUCUGGAGUCC